This 377-nucleotide ribosomal RNA is filed under the name uncultured Planctomycetota bacterium. RNAcentral's name for it is "bacterial SSU rRNA". It matches the Rfam family "Bacterial small subunit ribosomal RNA", at positions 521 to 896 of the family's 1533-position model. Lineage: Bacteria; Pseudomonadati; Planctomycetota. The record is from RNAcentral.
UAACACGAACCGUACGAACGUUAUUCGGAAUCACUGGGCUUAAAGAGUCCGUAGGCGGCCUUGUAGGUGGGGUGUGAAAUCCCACGGCUCAACCGUGGAAUUGCGCUUCAAACCACAAGACUUGAGGAAGAUAGAGGAGAGCGGAACUGAUGGUGGAGCGGUGAAAUGCGUUGAUAUUAUCAGGAACACCGGUGGCGAAGGCGGCUCUCUGGAUCUUUUCUGACGCUGAGGGACGAAAGCUAGGGGAGCGAACGGGAUUAGAUACCCCGGUAGUCCUAGCUGUAAACGAUGAGCACUGGGUCGAGGCGGCUCUCACACCGUCUCGGCCGUAGCGAAAGCGUUAAGUGCUCCGCCUGGGGAGUAUGGUCGCAAGGCUG